GAAAGAUGAAAAAGAGUUAGAGCAUCAUUCUUUAAAAACUAAGAGUCGAAUCCAAAGAAAGAUGAACGAAAGCUUGAAAUAAUACAUGCAUUAGGUCAAGUAUGAAAAUUAGAGUUCUUACAGAAGGGGGAUGGAAAGUGAAAAACUACACAUUAGGAAGGUAAAACUAGCUACUUCAUAAGCACAAAAACAUACACAUACGUUUCCUUUUGGGCUAUGCGUGGUGGCAUGAAGAAAUUCCACCAGUCUUGUUCAUGUAAUAUAUUGGAAAAAUCAAAUAAAAAGUUGCUCUGGUGGAAUUUUACAAAGAAUUAGGAGGGUCAUACUAAUGAAGAGUGAUCCUCCAUAGAUAAAUUUGAUCUCUUCAAGAAUCAUGUAAUUCUGCAAUCCAACAAUGGCAGAGACCACCUCCCAUCAAAAGCUUUCAACCCAAAGAUAACUGAUGUCAAUUUUAUGCCUGCAAGUAUACAAACCGUAACAAGUAAUAGUGGAUGUAAGAAUCCGGGUUGUCAAUCCCACAAGAACUAUAUUCUAGCACUUAAUUCAAUUUUUUUUAACCACUAUUUGAUGAAAUAAAAACUUGUAGGAUUUGAGUUUUAGUUUAAAUACGAGAAAAUAAGUGAAUGCACAUACGAUUGGUUUGAAAAUCAAAUUAUGAAUGGACGUUAGGGGAGAAUAAUUUCACCUAUUGCUCACCUUUACAAUUUAAAUCAAGACUCUUUCCAAACGUAGUGUUUGAUUGAAUUAUCCUAUUGUAUUCAAUUUACCCCUCUCGAGUUGUUUUUGAGUCUAUUUAACUAAUUCACUUCCAUAUCUCUAUGCGAAUCGUGCUUAGUUAAACGAGUUCUUUGUCCUCGAAAUCAAUUAUGAUCGCAAUAAUUAGUAUAUGUAUCUCUACUCAUUAUACCAAUUUACCGAAUUUUACUAUAUGGUCUAAAUCCUAAAUUUAUAUCUCUAUUCGUAAAGAAUUCAUAAACUCAUCAAAUUAGUAAUUAAGUAAUUUAAUGCAUUCAAUCUAUAGUAAAAUCAACACAUGAAAGAAUGAAGAACAAGAAUUUUAAAUAAAUUAUAUAAAGGGUUCCAAAUGGAUUAUAUUAUUCGCCCUAACAACAAUUUUAACUAUUCAUAAUGAAAAAAGAAAAAGAAAAAUAUUAAUUGUCAUAGAAUACAUCACCGAAUUUUGCAUUAAAAAUGUAGAAGAAAAAAUAGAUCUUAUACCAAGAAUCUCUUCCUCUUUCAAUUGAUACUCUACACAGUGAAUUCCUCGAUGUUUUUCUCCCUUAAAAUCUUCCUUUGAUUUUCCAAUAGUGUUUUCUUGCCUCUCAAUGUGUAAAUCCCUCUUCAAAAGUGUGAGAAAUUUGUAGUUAUAGGUGCCUCCUCGUGUGUGCAAAAAGUAGGGUUUUUAUGGACUUCAAAAUGGGCAAAAAAAAUGCACCCUAGACGCACCCAGGCAGUGCCUCUGGGCCACCUCCGGAUAAAAAAUUUUGGCUGUGCUUCCUUUAGUAUUUUUAUUAAAAAUUUUUCUCUCAAUGUCUGAUUGAAACGAUUCAAGAUGUGUUAGAAAGUUAAUUCAAAAGGCUACAAUUUUGAUUCAGACAUCAUUCUCAAAUUUGAUCAUUUACUAUAUCAAAAAUGGGUCUUAAUAUGAGGCUGAAACCGAUACAUAACUUUUUUCAAUUGAAAAUUGAUAUGUGAUCAUACUUUGUUUAUGUUUUAUCCCUUUGACAUCUUUCUUUAUCCAAUUGAUUUUGAGCAUUCUUGCAUCUUUAUUAUAAGGUCCGACACAACUUUUGAGUAUUUGCAUUUCAGUCCUUAAACUUUGGAUCUCUUACAACUUAGUCAUUUUUUUUUCAAUUUUGCCCACUUUUGAUUCUUCCAAUUUUUUGUAUCAUCAUUGAAUUUUACCUAUUCAACACUAAAUGCAACAAUUUAGACCAUAAUUCAUCCGAAAAUCAAUUAAUAGCAUGUUUGAGCCACAUUAUUUCAAAAAAUAUAUUUUUAAACAGUUAUUUGACAUCAUUUUAACCAUACAUUCUUCAAUAAAAUAAUAUUACACGCAGAUCAAAAUAUUUUCCUUAUUUUCACUAUUCAAGAAUGCAUUAUUACCAAAAUAAUGUGACUCAAACACCCCCUAAAUAUCAUUGUUUUAAAGCUUUGAAAAAGUGUAUAAAAUACACUUAUCAAUAACCUAGCAGUCCAAGAGAAGGGCAAUGAGAAUGGUGAAAUUUGAAGGUACAAUCAUGUUGAAUGCUGAUCAUAAAUUCUGAGCUGAAGGCAAAAAUUGUACAUAAUACAAAAACUGAUUUAGGCCACCAUUAUUAUUAAAGUCCGAAAUAUGAUAGAUUCGAUAAGGUAUGCAUUUCAAUGAAGAGUAUCACUUCCAAAGAAAAUUAUAUAGAACCAUCAUGUGAAAAAUUCUUUGGAUUGUGAACAAAACUGGCAAGUCGGAAAGACCAUGCUACUUUCGUCUUUAUCUGAAUUGAUGGGUUUUCUCAUAACUUACACAGCUAUUCCUCAAUUUACUUGGUGGUAUCAUAAAAGACUAUACGACAAUGUGAUUUUAUAAAAGGAGCACAUUAUAUAGCAAAAAUUGAAAAAAAGGACAAGAACAUUAAUCACAGAUUCCCAUUACUAGUCUGCAAAAAGGAGAUUAAUAAAAAUUUAGAAUGAUAUGUGUGACGACCUGAAUUCUAAAGUUCGAGUGCCACUAAAAUCGUAUGUUGAACAUCAUAUUGCACUUUCAAAAGCUUGAAAUUUAUUUAAAUAACACCAUGAAAUUGUAAGGGUCAAUACAUAAAAUUUUGAUGUCAACAUAAAAUAAAAUACUAGAAGCUUAGCAAUCUUAAUAUCAAACCAAUAAUUAAAUAAGUUAUUAAAUAAAUAAAAAAUAAGCUUGUGGGUUUCUUUCACUUGCCACCUAGCCCUCUCAUGCCUUAAUUGUCACGAACCAUCAAUUUUUUGAAAGGUGAUAAAGGGGGGUGAGGAUGUGAAACAAAAUCUCAAUAAGCAUAUAAAUAUAUAGAUUAAUAUUGUACAAAAUUUAAGGAACUUCAUACAUACAUACACACACAAUGAGACAUGAAAAUCUAUAUCGAAUAUAGGUGGUAUGAAACUUUCACGCAUAGCGCUACUAUAUUCCGAUCCAAACUUAGAACAUACAUAAAGGACCUCAUAAUCACUUUUCCAAAAAUCCAACGUACGCAUAAAAUCUCAUUAAAAAAAAUACUUAUAAACUUUCCAUAUCUUAUGAAAAUGAUAAGAGAAAUACUAGAAUAUUUGAGACUUCAACUCUUGAUUCACGUACUAAAAAAUAUAUUAUUUGUAUUUGUGUGUAUUUUCACGGUGAAAUGAAUGUACUUGAAAAUGAGACAUAUGAUGCUUAUUUAUAGAGUCAUUAUGCUUUGAGAGUUCUAAUUCAAUUGAACUUUGAAUCUUAAAAGUGAUAAAAUCUUAUCAUUAUCUCAAUCAUAUUUCAGCUAAUGGAAUAAGAUAAUGAAUUAAAAAAAAAAAUCAUCUCCAUAAUUUCUAAAAUUAAAUAAAGUAUUGAUAAAAUCAAAAUGUUAUCUCUAUGAUUUAAAUAUUUCAAUUUUAUUUGAACGGGAUAAAUUUGAAACGUUAUAUCAAUUAUCUUUUAGUAUUAAACAAAAUAUAAAUAAAAUUAAAGUAUUAUUUUAAUAGGAAUUUGAUUUUAUCUCAAAAGAGAUAAAAUUAAAACAUUAUCUCCCUUAUUUAAUUAAAAUAAAAUAAAAUUUUAACAACUUGGGUUUAAGCCCAAAAAGAAAAAUAAAACAAAAAGGUGUGGGCUAUAAUUUCACAUAAUGGGCUUCCAAGUGAUUGGUCGGGCUAAAAUAUUAGUCGUGUCUUCCUUUUUUUUUUUUUUUGGGGCAAACCUAAAUUAAUAAAAUUAGGCCAUAGGUAUGGGUAUUACAAUAUGAUUUCCCCUUUCUGAUGAAAUUCAACAAGGCACAUCAUCAACUAAGAAGGGAACCUAAAGGGACGAUAAAAUUCAAAACCUUGACAUCAGCAUGUUUUUUAUAUCAAGGUUUGUGCAUAUAUGCAUAUUUGUAUUUGAACCUAAGUGCCAAAAAAAAAAAAAAAUCAAAAAUACAACNNNNNNNNNNNNNNNNNNNNNNNNNNNNNNNNNNNNNNNNNNNNNNNNNNNNNNNNNNNNNNNNNNNNNNNNNNNNNNNNNNNNNNNAUCCACGAUACAUUCUUUUACACAAAUGUGAAUAUUCAAGCAUGGUAAAAGGCAUGUGAUCAAGUCUAGAACGUAAGAAAAUGCAAGACAUAUCUUGCCCUUCAUAUUAUUUUAGAAAGGAGUUGUAGCAAAUGUUACGCCUCCUCUAGCGAGGCUCCUAGCAUGACCAUGUGGUAGCCAAACCUGGGCCUGCCACAUCAUUUCUCUGGCCGAAUCCUUAUGAAGGGUCGAAUCCAUUUGCUGAAGCAGACCCCAUUUGGGGAACCGAACCCCCAUUGGAGGGGUGAGCCAUUAUGGGUUUAGUGGAAGAUCUUCCAUAACCUUGGUAAAUGAUUUUAGGCAACAAAAUAGUAUUAAAAUUAAGGAUGUAUUUGAUUGGAAAUUUUUAUACGAAAAAUGGUCUUUUUCCACUCGAAUUCCAACUUUUGAAGUGUUCGAUUGUCAUUUUUUUCAUGAAAUAUAUUUUUCAACCUUUGAAAAUAUGUCUAGUUCUCCUUUUUAUUAUUCAUCUUCUUGUAUUAUAAAAGCUCACACAAUGUGCCAUUUCAAAUGUAAUACAAGUUUAGACUCUCAAUCUACAACUUUGCUAUCUCUUAAAUCUCCUAAAGUCGAAUUCCUUUUAUUUUAAUAUAUACAAGAUGCUCGUGUCUAGAGCAGCUCCCACAUUCAAAUACUUAUAUUAUCAACUAACUUGAUCGUUGGAGUGCUCAUGGCCAACUCCACCCCACCGGAGGAGGCCACAUGUGGCUAACGAUUUGUUCUAGUAUACAGGAAUCUGCUUAUGUGAAUACGGGAGGCCUUGAGAUCUAUUGGUCACGUUGGAUAUACAAAAUUUGAGGUCAACGGCAAAAAUCUUGGCUAGUAAUGAAGGAUGAUUUGCCGGAACUAAACUCUAUUGAAACAAGACUUAAGUUAUUAAAUUAUUGAGGACCAAACACAUAAAAAACUGUUGGAAUUUAGCCCAUAUGUGACACAAUUAGAGCGACCGUGUAAGGAAGUCUUAGAUCUUAUCCAUAUGAUUUGGAUACACCCUCAGAGAUUUUAAUCCUUACUUAAAUUGGAAUCAAGAGAAUCUCUUAGAGAAUCCUAGUAGAAUUAAAUUAUGACUCUUAGCGAGCCUAUAAAUAGGACACCAACAUUCCAAGAUCAGGGUUCUUGAGUUGUGGAGAUUUGUGAUUGUUCGAGUAAGCUCACACACACGAGCUUUAAUAAUUGUAAGUAACAAUAAUAUUGUAAGGUUAUAGCAAGGAAUUGGACUAGAAGAUUGUAGAUCCGUAUAGUACCACCACAUGCUUCCGACAAAAACAUUUGAAUGUGUAGAACUUUCUAUUAACCUAUUAACUACCCAAAAAUAAGUAGCCUAUCCAAAUGAUUUAACAAUAGAGAUCACAUCUCUGGAGGCAACCUUCUCUGGUGGCAAGAGCAUCUAUUUUGGAUCUUUUUCGAGUGAAAGAAGUAUCAAUUACCAGUUUAAGUAACUUUGUUAUCCAAUGCAUUCCACAGAAUUUCAUGGAAAGAGUUAUUCUUCAAUUAGAAAACAAAAUAACAAACCUCACGCUGCCUAUUCCUCUCAUCAUAUAGAACUUUAUUAAAGAUCAGGCCAUGUUAAAGGUGUAAAAAUGGACAAGGCUGGCCCAAGCCCGCCAAGUCCAUCAAUAAGAGCUCAGUCCACAGAAGGCACAGCCCAACUACAUUGGCUCUAGGACCCCCCCAGCCCAUACCGGGCUGGCUUAGGUGGCCCUAUUAAUUAAAAAAAAUAAAGAACUAUGCCCGUUAAUCAAGAAAACAUAACCAACUCUUACAGACUGCAGAGUCCAAUGGAUUUUGCAUCCAGCAGCUCUGAAUUAAUGCAGAGUCCAUUUCUAAUUGAAUUUUUUUUUGAGAUGUUAUCAAAGAAACGAAAAAUGAAUAUUUUUUAUAUUAAAUUACAGCCUAGCUGAUAAAUAAUUUGUCCAUCAUUACAAUAAAGAUUUACUAUCCUUAAGUUUCUUAUUUUUGAGUCCUAGUCCUUGGUUUAGUACUUACAGAGAGGAAGUAACAAUUGGAGGUCUUGGAAGAUGAAGAGAAGGCUCUGUGCAACUAUCUUUCUAGUGAAUAAAGUACUUAGAAGAAAAUCAGAUAAAAGUUCAUGGUUUCAACGUCAACAUAUCUCAUAAACAAAAUCAAAGUUCAGUGGGAGUAACCAAGUUAUCCUGAUGUUGAGUUAUUAAAAAAAAUUAUCUCUACAAGUUAAAUGUAGCUGAGAUAUGAAUACUGAGAUGGAUUUGUGGUAAAACGAGUAGUAACAAAUAAGCAUAUUCAUUAAUUGGAGCCAGUUGAAUAUGAAUCGGAUGAAAAAUGAUUAAGAUGGUUUGAGCACAUUUUAAAAAAAAAGCUUUAUCGCACCAAUUGGAAAAGAAAUGAUACUAGUACCGAUAAUGAUAGAAUUGGAGAUCCUAUUGCAAGCAAAGCAUCAAGUGCAAUGAUUGCAUGAAGCCAUUUUCAGUCAUUUAUCGAAAUAUGUUUCAUCCUCUCGACCCACAAGAUCAACAAAGAGAUUGAUAUGGCUCAGCGCCACUUUAUAAAGUAACAUUGAUGGAGAUACACAGGCAAUAAAAAGUGCUAGUUAGAGCCCUCUUUAAAAUACUUUAACCUAUAAUUAUUUUUGUUAGUCAAUUUACUUCGGAGCUUCUCCUCUGACAUCCAUGGAUAAAAUUCUGACAACCCAAAAAAAUAAAAAUAAAAAGGAGAGAAGUGAAAGUUAAUCAAAAAUUAAACAUUAUAAAUGUGAUAAUCUAAUAAAACCAAUUUGAUAAUGCAAAUUCAUUCCUCUUUCCACUCCACAGCGCAAAAUCAUUGCCUCUUUAUAUUCAAACUAAGCAGAAUCAUUGUUUAAUUUUUUACUAAUCGGUUCUCCUUCAAAUUACAUGAUCUGAAAAUUGAAAUUACAGGCAGAAAAUACAUAGUAUACCUUAAUAAAUAAAAAAUAGUACCUGAUUUCUUUUAACGAAAAUUUACCUUUUAAGAGCUCGACAAUGCACCUUUCUUCUGCUUCUUUGUAUAAAAUUUCAUCCUCAAUACUAUUGCCCCGAUCUGAAGCUAUACUAGAGAGAACGAGGGUCAUUUUGGAAAAUUGCACCAUCAGUCCUCAAUUAUCCCCAUUAUUACGGACUAAAUUGAAACACGACUGAAUUUAUU
RNAcentral lists this long non-coding RNA (7375 nucleotides) under Olea europaea (common olive). Its description in RNAcentral is "long non-coding RNA (OEUR_LNC004339)". Lineage: Eukaryota; Viridiplantae; Streptophyta; Magnoliopsida; Lamiales; Oleaceae. The record is from RNAcentral.